Molecule: ribosomal RNA, 254 nt
Filed under: uncultured bacterium
Lineage: Bacteria
Description: partial 16S ribosomal RNA
Rfam family: Bacterial small subunit ribosomal RNA
Source: RNAcentral
GACGUAGGGAGCAAGCGUUGUCCGGAUUUACUGGGCGUAAAGAGCGCGUAGGCGGUCUGUUAAGUGUAGAGUGAAAUCUCCAGGGCUCAACCCGGAAACUGCUCUGCAUACUGGCAGACUUGAGGGACUGAGAGGUGAAUGGAAUUCCUGGUGUAGCGGUGAAAUGCGUAGAUAUCAGGAGGAACACCCAUGGCGAAGGCAGUUCACUGGCAGUCUCCUGACGUUGAGGCGCGAAAGCGUGGGUAGCAAACAGG